AAAUGAUGUCUCGGGUUCAAGUCUUGAAAAUUGUGAAAAAACGCUCGUAGGAGAGAGAGAAAAGGAGGUCUCGAGUUCAACUUCUGAAAAUGAUUUUGUGGUUAACGUGACACAAAUACGAAUUAGUUAACGGAAUGAAUUUCAGAGUCAUAUGGUAAGCAUGAUGAGAUUAGGUCCUUUAAUUUCAAAGAGAAAAAGAAAAAAAAAUCUUAUUUUUUUUCUCUUUUUUUCCCUUA
Molecule: unclassified non-coding RNA, 236 nt
Filed under: Hevea brasiliensis (rubber tree)
Lineage: Eukaryota; Viridiplantae; Streptophyta; Magnoliopsida; Malpighiales; Euphorbiaceae
Source: RNAcentral